This 497-nucleotide ribosomal RNA is filed under the name uncultured bacterium. RNAcentral describes it as "partial 16S ribosomal RNA". It matches the Rfam family "Bacterial small subunit ribosomal RNA", at positions 28 to 507 of the family's 1533-position model. The record is from RNAcentral.
GAUGAACGCUGGCGGCGUGCCUAAUACAUGCAAGUCGAGCGAACAGACGAGGAGCUUGCUCCUCUGACGUUAGCGGCGGACGGGUGAGUAACACGUGGAUAACCUACCUAUAAGACUGGGAUAACUUCGGGAAACCGGAGCUAAUACCGGAUAAUAUAUUGAACCGCAUGGUUCAAUAGUGAAAGACGGUUUUGCUGUCACUUAUAGAUGGAUCCGCGCCGCAUUAGCUAGUUGGUAAGGUAACGGCUUACCAAGGCAACGAUGCGUAGCCGACCUGAGAGGGUGAUCGGCCACACUAGAACUGAGACACGGUCCAGACUCCUACGGGAGGCAGCAGUAGGGAAUCUUCCGCAAUGGGCGAGAUCCUGACGGAGCAACGCCGCGUGAGUGAUGAAGGUCUUCGGAUCGUAAAACUCUGUUAUUAGGGAAGAACAAAUGUGUAAGUAACUAUGCACGUCUUGACGGUACCUAAUCAGAAAGCCACGGCUAACUACGUG